RNAcentral lists this transfer RNA (72 nucleotides) under Carlito syrichta (Philippine tarsier). Its description in RNAcentral is "tRNA-Ala (AGC) (tRNA-Ala-AGC-7-1)". It matches the Rfam family "tRNA". Rfam says of the family: Transfer RNA (tRNA) molecules are approximately 80 nucleotides in length. Their secondary structure includes four short double-helical elements and three loops (D, anti-codon, and T loops). Further hydrogen bonds mediate the characteristic L-shaped molecular structure. tRNAs have two regions of fundamental functional importance: the anti-codon, which is responsible for specific mRNA codon recognition, and the 3' end, to which the tRNAs corresponding amino acid is attached (by aminoacyl-tRNA synthetases). tRNAs cope with the degeneracy of the genetic code in two manners: having more than one tRNA (with a specific anti-codon) for a particular amino acid; and 'wobble' base-pairing, i.e. permitting non-standard base-pairing at the 3rd anti-codon position. Lineage: Eukaryota; Metazoa; Chordata; Mammalia; Primates; Tarsiidae. The record is from Rfam by way of RNAcentral.
GGGGGUGUAGCUCAGUGGUACAGCGCGUGCUUAGCAUGCACGAGGCCCUGGGUUCGAUCCCCAGCACCUCCA